RNAcentral lists this unclassified non-coding RNA (403 nucleotides) under Hevea brasiliensis (rubber tree). The record is from RNAcentral. Lineage: Eukaryota; Viridiplantae; Streptophyta; Magnoliopsida; Malpighiales; Euphorbiaceae.
GAAUAACCAAAUCAAAUUGGCUCGACUCUAAGGUCUUCCCUUCUUGAAACCCCAGCAACUUGAACAAUUCAGAGGCAAAGGCAGAUGAAUCGACCUGGUUAUUAAUGUUACUAAUUACCUCAUUGGCUCGACUCUAAGGUCUUCCCUUCUUGAAACCCCAGCAACUUGAACAAUUCAGAGGCAAAGGCAGAUGAAUCGACCUGGUUAUUAAUGUUACUAAUUACCUCAUUGAGCUCUAAGACGGUGAAUCCAAGCUUAUUGCAGAAACUCUUCAGUCUUAAAUUUUCAGUGAUGACAGCAGCUUUCAUCCCCAUAAACCUCUCUGAUAUGGUUGCUGCUACAUGCUUCUCCUGAGAUUGAGUUUCAGAAGAUUCUUCCCCAUUCAGGGCAAGAUAAGCUUCAC